This 449-nucleotide ribosomal RNA is filed under the name uncultured bacterium. Its description in RNAcentral is "partial 16S ribosomal RNA". It matches the Rfam family "Bacterial small subunit ribosomal RNA", at positions 29 to 523 of the family's 1533-position model. The record is from RNAcentral.
AACGAACGCUGGCGGCAGGCCUAGCACAUGCAAGUCGAGCGAGACCUUCGGGUCUAGCGGCGGACGGGUGAGUAACGCGUGGGAACGUGCCCUUUGCUACGGAAUAGCCCCGGGAAACUGGGAGUAAUACCGUAUGUGCCCUUCGGGGGAAAGAUUUAUCGGCAAAGGAUCGGCCCGCGUUGGAUUAGGUAGUUGGUGGGGUAAUGGCCUACCAAGCCGCCGAUCCAUAGCUGGUUUGAGAGGAUGAUCAGCCACACUGGGACUGAGACACGGCCCAGACUCCUACGGGAGGCAGCAGUGGGGAAUCUUAGACAAUGGGGGAAACCCUGAUCUAGCCAUGCCGCGUGAGCGAUGAAGGCCUUAGGGUUGUAAAGCUCUUUCAGGUGGGAAGAUAAUGACGGUACCACCAGAAGAAGCCCCGGCUAACUCCGUGCCAGCCGCCGCAGUAA